This is a long non-coding RNA of Colias croceus (clouded yellow), 598 nucleotides long. RefSeq lists it as uncharacterized. The record is from RefSeq and is a predicted model, not a curated record. The transcript has 3 exons. Lineage: Eukaryota; Metazoa; Arthropoda; Insecta; Lepidoptera; Pieridae.
AUUAUCCAAACUUGUACAAGCAUAUCGAUUCGUGGUCCAUUGAAGACGAAAGUGGGAACUAUACAUCUUGGCGGUACGUGGCGUCGUAUGGCUGCGGGCCGCGCUGCACCGGUCGCGCCGAUGUCAGCGCGCACAACGAGCGCGCUCCGCCCGCUGAGCCGCACACGCACCGCCUGUACCUUCACGACGUACACUGCACUCGUCUGCCGCUUUUAUAUUGGCCACAAUUUUGUGAAGAGAUUGAAGUGGAGAGCGAGAUUGUGAGUGCAGCGGAAGCGGCUAGGUUGGGAGCGGGGGGAGCGGGAGGAGCAGCGCGCGGCAGCCGGCUGGUGGAGCGCGCGCGCGCUUGGUGCGGCGCGCUGCAUCUGCUGGCGGGCCGCUGCGCCCCGCGCCACUCUCGCGAGGCGCACCUGUACGCGCUGCGGCAUUCGCUCUGAGCUGUGCGAGUUCUAUGUUAAGCGCAAAAAUGUAUGCGUGAAGCGAACUCUAUAAUUAACGUUAAAAAUAUAAUGCUUUCAUACCUUAAUAUAAUACUGAUUUAAUUUAUUGUAUUUGUCCCUGCAUACGAGUACUGUGUGAAUGUUUUGAAUUUUUAAUA